This 451-nucleotide ribosomal RNA is filed under the name uncultured bacterium. Its description in RNAcentral is "bacterial SSU rRNA". It matches the Rfam family "Bacterial small subunit ribosomal RNA", at positions 354 to 796 of the family's 1533-position model. The record is from RNAcentral.
GUGAGGAAUAUUGGGCAAUGGGCGCAAGCCUGACCCAGCCACGCCGCGUGAGUGAUGAAGGCCUUCGGGUCGUAAAGCUCUGUGGGGAGGGACGAAAAAUCUCCGUUCGAAUAGGGCGGAGACUUGACGGUACCUCCUUAGCAAGCACCGGCUAACUCUGUGCCAGCAGCCGCGGUAAUACAGAGGGUGCGAACGUUGCUCGGAUUUACUGGGCGUAAAGCGCGUGUAGGCGGGCUCGCAAGUCGGUUGUGAAAUCCCUGGGCUCAACCUAGGAACUGCAUCCGAAACUGCUUGUCUUGAGUGGUAGAGAGGGUGGCGGAAUUCCCGGUGUAGAGGUGAAAUUCGUAGAUAUCGGGAGGAACAUCAGUGGCGAAGGCGGCCACCUGGAUACUUACUGACGCUGAGACGCGAAAGCGUGGGGAGCAAACAGGAUUAGAAACCCCUGUAGUCC